UGAACGGCUGGCGGCGUGCUUAACACAUGCAAGUCGAGCGAAGCUCCUUGUUGAUUCUUCGGAUUGAAACAAAGGAUGACUGAGCGGCGGACGGGUGAGUAACGCGUGGAGAACCUGCCCCUACCGGGGGAUAACAGUUAGAAAUGACUGCUAAUACCGCAUAAGCGCACACUAUCGCAUGAUAGAGUGUGAAAAAACUCCGGUGGUACGGGAUGGCUCCGCGUUGGAUUAGCCAGUUGGCGGGGUAACGGCCCACCAAAGCGACGAUCCAUAGCCGGCCUGAGAGGGCGACCGGCCACAUUGGGACUGAGACACGGCCCAAACUCCUACGGGAGGCAGCAGUGGGGAAUAUUGCACAAUGGGGGGAAAAACCCCCUGAUGCAGCGACGCCGCGUGAACGAAGAAGUAUUUCGGUAUGUAAAGUUCUAUCAGCAGGGAAGAAAAUGACGGUACCUGACUAAGAAGCCCCGGCUAAAUACGUGCCAGCCGCCGC
RNAcentral lists this ribosomal RNA (493 nucleotides) under uncultured bacterium. Its description in RNAcentral is "bacterial SSU rRNA". It matches the Rfam family "Bacterial small subunit ribosomal RNA", at positions 35 to 518 of the family's 1533-position model. The record is from RNAcentral.